UUUCCGUAGGUGAACCUGCGGAAGGAUCAUUACCGAAUUGUUAACAAGAGCUGUUGCUGGUCCCCAUAUGGGGGCAUGUGCACGCUCUGUUUACACAUCCACUCACACCUGUGCACCCUCUGUAGUUCUAUGGCCUGGGUGGGCUCUGUCCUCCUGCUGUGGUUCUACGUCUUUACACACACACUACAAUAAAGUCUUAUGGAAUGUAUGUCGCGUUUAACGCAAUGAAAUACAACUUUCAGCAACGGAUCUCUUGGCUCUC
RNAcentral lists this unclassified non-coding RNA (262 nucleotides) under root metagenome. RNAcentral's name for it is "partial contains small subunit ribosomal RNA, internal transcribed spacer 1, and 5.8S ribosomal RNA". The record is from RNAcentral.